This 1979-nucleotide ribosomal RNA is filed under the name human gut metagenome. RNAcentral's name for it is "bacterial LSU rRNA". It matches the Rfam family "Bacterial large subunit ribosomal RNA", at positions 1 to 1980 of the family's 2925-position model. The record is from RNAcentral.
UUAAAUUGCUAAGGGCACAUGGUGAAUGCCUUGGCACUAGAAGCUGAUGAAGGACGCGACAAACAGCGAUAUGCUUCGGGGAGUAGUAAGUAUACUUUGAUCCGGAGAUUUCCGAAUGAGGGAACUCAGCUACGGUAAUGCGUAGUUAUUGCAUAAUAAAUUCAUAGUUAUGUAAGAGCAACCCGGUGAACUGAAACAUCUUAGUAACCGGUGGAAAAGAAAGAAAAAUCGAUUUCCUUAGUAGUGGCGAGCGAAACGGAAAUAGCCCAAACCAAUCUUAGGAUUGGGGUUGUAGGACCAUACAUUAAGAGUAAAAAAAUCAUAAUAUAGUUGAACUAGUUGGGAAGCUAGACUGUAAAAGGUGAUAGUCCUGUAAACGAAAUAUUAUGAACUCUGUAGGGUAUCCUGAGUACGGCGAGACACGUGAAAUCUUGUCGGAAUCUGCGGGGCCCAUCCCGUAAGGCUAAAUACUCUCUAGUGACCGAUAGUGAACAAGUACCGUGAGGGAAAGGUGAAAAGAACCCCGGGAGGGGAGUGAAAUAGAAUACUGAAACCAUGUGCUUACAAGAAGUCAGAGCUCGUUAAUGAGUGAUGGCGUGCCUUUUGCAGAAUGAACCGGCGAGUUAUUGUACCAUGCAAGGUUAAGUUGAAGAAACGGAGCCGAAGCGAAAGCGAGUCUGAAUAGGGCGAGUUAGUAUGUUGCAAUAGACCCGAAACCGAGUGAUCUAGCCAUGAGCAGGUUGAAGUUUAGGUAAAACUAAAUGGAGGACCGAACCGACGUACUAGGAAACGUGCGCGGAUGACUUGUGGCUAGCGGUGAAAUUCCAAUCGAACUCGGAUAUAGCUGGUUCUCCCCGAAAUAGGUUUAGGCCUAGCGUUGAGCUAAGCGCCUUGAAGGUAGAGCACUGAAUACAUGAUGGCGGCACCUAGCUGUACUGAGUGUAAUCAAACUCCGAAUGUUAAGGUUAGCAUGUUCAGCAGUCAGUGUACGGGUGAUAACGUCCGUACGCAAAAGGAAAAGAAUCCAGAUCGCCAGCUAAGGUCCCUAAAUAUAUGCUAAGUGGGAAAGGAUGUGGAGUUGUCAAAACAGCUAGGAGGUUGGCUUAGAAGCAGCCAUCCUUUAAAGAGUGCGUAAUAGCUCACUAGUCGAGUGGCUCUGCGCCGAAAAUGUACCGGGGCUAAACACAAUACCGAAGCUGUGGAUUUAUACUUAUGUAUAGAUGGUAGGGGAGCGUUCUAAGGGCGCUGAAGGUAGACCGUGAGGACUACUGGAGCGCUUAGAAGUGAGAAUGCCGGUGUGAGUAACGUAAGGUAGGUGAGAAUCCUACCCACCGAAUGACCAAGGUUUCCAGGGUAAAGUUCGUCUUCCCUGGGUUAGUCAGGACCUAAGGCGAGGCUGAAAAGCGUAGUCGAUGGACAACAGGUUUAUAUUCCUGUACUUCCUAUAUGACUGAUGGAGUGACGGAGAAGGAUAGCAAGAGCCUAUUAUUGGAUUUAGGUUUAAAUGCUUAGGUUAGUGAGUUGGAAAAUCCGCUACACUAUUAAAACUGAAACAUGAUGACGCCGAUUCCUACGGGGAUCUAAGUCUUGUGAAUCCAUGCUUCCAAGAAAAACUUCUAAAGAUAUUGUAUAGGAACCUGUACCGCAAACCACCACAGGUGGUCAAGGAGAGAAUCCUAAGGUGAGCGAGAGAACUAUGGUUAAGGAACUCGGCAAAAUGACCCCGUAACUUCGGGAUAAGGGGAGGUCACUUCGGUGACCCGCAGAGAAUUGUCCCAGGCAACUGUUUACCAAAAACACAGGUCUCUGCUAAAGCGUAAGCUGAUGUAUAGGGGCUGACGCCUGCCCAGUGCUGGAAGGUUAAGAGGAGAUGUUAGUUGGACGCAAGUCGAUAACAACGAAGCUUCGAAUUGAAGCCCCAGUGAACGGCGGCCGUAACUAUAACGGUCCUAAGGUAGCGAAAUUCCUUGUCAGGUAAG